Molecule: ribosomal RNA, 454 nt
Filed under: uncultured bacterium
Lineage: Bacteria
Description: bacterial SSU rRNA
Rfam family: Bacterial small subunit ribosomal RNA
Source: RNAcentral
AGAGUUUGAUCAUGGCUCAGAACAACGCUGGCGGCAGGCCUAACACAUGCAAGUCGAACGCUCGUAGCAAUACGGGAGUGGCAGACGGGUGCGUAACGCGUGGGAACAUACCCUUUGGUUCGGAAUAACUCAGGGAAACUUGAGCUAAUACCGGAUACGCCCGAGAGGGGAAAGGAUUUAUUGCCGAAGGAUUGGCCCGCGUCUGAUUAGCUAGUUGGUAGGGUAACGGCCUACCAAGGCGACGAUCAGUAGCUGGUCUGAGAGGAUGAUCAGCCACACUGGGACUGAGACACGGCCCAGACUCCUACGGGAGGCAGCAGUGGGGAAUAUUGGACAAUGGCGCAAGCCUGAUCCAGCCAUGCCGCGUGAGUGAUGACGGCCUUAGGGUUGUAAAGCUCUUUUACCUGGGAAGAUAAUGACGGCACCAGGAGAAUAAGCCCCGGCUAACUUCGUG